UUCCCAGAAUUCCUCCUCCCACCAGUUUGAGGAGCAGCCCAUCCAGCUGCUCUUCCCGGAGCUCCAGGACAUUCCCAGCAACGUUCUGUGGUUGGAUGUUCAGCCCCUUCCCGGCUCCCGGCACCGUUUGUCGGCCCUGGGCUGCCAGAGCGGCUUCAUCCGAGUCUCCCGGGUGGAUCAGGACUCCAGAGAAGUUCUGCAGAGCUGGAGCCUCCAGCAGGACGGGCCCGUCUCCUCCGUGCUGCUCUUCCCGCUGCCUCCAGAGCCACACGGUGCCCCUGAGGACUCCUGGAGCGUCCUGGUGACCAGUGCCCUGGAAGCCGCCGUCGUCUACAGG
Molecule: long non-coding RNA, 337 nt
Organism: Neopelma chrysocephalum (saffron-crested tyrant-manakin)
Lineage: Eukaryota; Metazoa; Chordata; Aves; Passeriformes; Pipridae
Exons: 4
Source: RefSeq, a predicted model, not a curated record